Small nucleolar RNA from Taeniopygia guttata (zebra finch), 87 nucleotides. Ensembl annotates it as small nucleolar RNA SNORD93. NCBI's taxonomy places the organism in Eukaryota, Metazoa, Chordata, Aves, Passeriformes, Estrildidae. The record is from Ensembl.
UGGCCAAGGAUGAAAGCAAUAAUCUGAUUCCUUACAUACUUUAGUGAUACGCAAAAAUCUGAUGGAUAAAAGGAUUUUCUGAGGCCA